This 510-nucleotide ribosomal RNA is filed under the name uncultured Actinomycetes bacterium. RNAcentral describes it as "bacterial SSU rRNA". It matches the Rfam family "Bacterial small subunit ribosomal RNA", at positions 252 to 778 of the family's 1533-position model. The record is from RNAcentral. Lineage: Bacteria; Bacillati; Actinomycetota; Actinomycetes.
GCGGGGUAAUGGCCCACCAAGGCGUCGACGGGUAGCUGGUCUGAGAGGAUGAUCAGCCACACUGGGACUGAGACACGGCCCAGACUCCUACGGGAGGCAGCAGUGGGGAAUCUUGCGCAAUGGGCGAAAGCCUGACGCAGCAACGCCGCGUGCGGGAUGAAGGCCUUCGGGCUGUAAACCGCUUUCAGCAGGAACGAAAAUGACGGUACCUGCAGAAGAAGGAGCGGCCAACUACGUGCCAGCAGCCGCGGUGACACGUAGGCUCCAAGCGUUGUCCGGAUUUAUUGGGCGUAAAGAGCUCGUAGGCGGUUUAGUAAGUCGGGUGUGAAAACUCUGGGCUUAACCCAGAGACGCCAUCCGAUACUGCUGUGACUUGAGUUCAGGAGGGGAGCGGGGAAUUCCUAGUGUAGCGGUGAAAUGCGCAGAUAUUAGGAGGAACACCGGUGGCGAAGGCGCCGCUCUGGACUGAAACUGACGCUGAGGAGCGAAAGCAUGGGUAGCAAACAGGAU